RNAcentral lists this ribosomal RNA (460 nucleotides) under uncultured bacterium. Its description in RNAcentral is "partial 16S ribosomal RNA". It matches the Rfam family "Bacterial small subunit ribosomal RNA", at positions 338 to 795 of the family's 1533-position model. The record is from RNAcentral.
CCUACGGGGGGCAGCAGUGAGGAAUAUUGGUCAAUGGACGAGAGUCUGAACCAGCCAAGUAGCGUGAAGGAUGACUGUCCUAUGGGUUGUAAACUUCUUUUAUAUGGGAAUAAAAUGUUCCACGUGUGGGAUUUUGUAUGUACCAUAUGAAUAAGGAUCGGCUAACUCCGUGCCAGCAGCCGCGGUAAUACGGAGGAUCCGAGCGUUAUCCGGAUUUAUUGGGUUUAAAGGGAGCGUAGGUGGGUUGUUAAGUCAGUUGUGAAAGUUUGCGGCUCAACCGUAAAAUUGCAGUUGAUACUGGCAGUCUUGAGUACAGUAGAGGUAGGCGGAAUUCGUGGUGUAGCGGUGAAAUGCUUAGAUAUCACGAAGAACUCCGAUUGCGAAGGCAGUUCACUGAACUGCAACUGACACUGAGGCUCGAAAGUGUGGGUAUCAAACAGGAUUAGAUACCCGGGUAGUC